GAUGAAGAACGUAGCGAAAUGCGAUAAGUAAUGUGAAUUGCAGAAUUCAGUGAAUCAUCGAAUCUUUGAACGCACCUUGCGCCCUUUGGCCAUUCCGAAGGGCAUGCCUGUUUGAGUAUCAUGAACACCUCAACUCUUCAUGGUUUUCCAUGAUGAGCUUGGACUUUGGGGGUCUUGCUGGCCUGUGGGUCGGCUCCUCUCAAAUGAAUCAGCUUGCCGGUUUUUGGUGGGCAUCACAGGUGUGAUAACUAUCUACGCUUGUGGUUUUCCACCAGGGUAACCUUCAGCAGUGGAGGUUCACUGGAGCUUACAAAUGUCUCUCCUCUGUGAGGACAGCCCUUUGAAUGUUUGAUCUCAAAUCAGGUAGGGCUACCCGCUGAACUUAAGCAUAUCAAUAAGCGGAGGA
RNAcentral lists this unclassified non-coding RNA (406 nucleotides) under soil metagenome. RNAcentral's name for it is "partial contains 5.8S ribosomal RNA, internal transcribed spacer 2, and large subunit ribosomal RNA". The stretch from base 1 to 121 matches the Rfam family "5.8S ribosomal RNA", at positions 35 to 154 of the family's 154-position model. The record is from RNAcentral.